This 465-nucleotide ribosomal RNA is filed under the name uncultured bacterium. RNAcentral's name for it is "partial 16S ribosomal RNA". It matches the Rfam family "Bacterial small subunit ribosomal RNA", at positions 28 to 507 of the family's 1533-position model. The record is from RNAcentral.
GACGAACGCUGGCGGCGUGCUUAACACAUGCAAGUCGAACGGUAAGGCCCCUUUGGGGGUACUCGAGUGGCGAACGGGUGAGUAACACGUGAGUAACCUGCCCUUGACUUCGGGAUAACUUCAGGAAACUGGGGCUAAUACCGGAUAGGAAUCCUUGCUGCAUGGUGGGGGUUGGAAAGCUUCGGCGGUUUUGGAUGGACUCGCGGCUUAUCAGCUUGUUGGUGGGGUAGUGGCUUACCAAGGCUUUGACGGGUAGCCGGCCUGAGAGGGCGACCGGCCACAUUGGGACUGAGAUACGGCCCAGAAUCCUACGGGAGGCAGCAGUGGGGAAUAUUGCACAAUGGGCGGAAGCCUGAUGCAGCAACGCCGCGUGCGGGAUGACGGCCUUCGGGUUGUAAACCGCUUUCAGCAGGGGCGAAGCUUGUGGUGACGGUACCUGCAGAAGAAGCACCGGCUAACUACGUG